GACGAACGCUGGCGGCGUGCCUAAUACAUGCAAGUAGAACGCUGAAGGAGGAGCUUGCUUCUCUGGAUGAGUUGCGAACGGGUGAGUAACGCGUAGGUAACCUGCCUGGUAGCGGGGGAUAACUAUUGGAAACGAUAGCUAAUACCGCAUAAUAGUAGAUGUCGCAUGACAUUUGCUUAAAAGGUGCAAUUGCAUCACUACCAGAUGGACCUGCGUUGUAUUAGCUAGUUGGUGAGGUAACGGCUCACCAAGGCAACGAUACAUAGCCGACCUGAGAGGGUGAUCGGCCACACUGGGACGGAGACACGGCCCAGACUCCUACGGGAGGCAGCAGGAGGGAAUCUUCGGCAAUGGACGGAAGUCUGACCGAGCAACGCCGCGGGAGUGAAGAAGGUUUUCGGAUCGUAAAGCUCUGUUGUAAGAGAAGAACGAGUGUGAGAGUGGAAAGUUCACACUGUGACGGUAUCUUACCAGAAAGGGACGGCUAACUACGUG
RNAcentral lists this ribosomal RNA (495 nucleotides) under uncultured bacterium. RNAcentral describes it as "partial 16S ribosomal RNA". It matches the Rfam family "Bacterial small subunit ribosomal RNA", at positions 28 to 507 of the family's 1533-position model. The record is from RNAcentral.